CCUAGUGUUCUCAACAUAGAAAUCAACAGGAGAAUCACAAUCAUAGGCAUAGGCAGAAGAAACAGUAUCCACAAAGCCAAAAUAGGUAGACAUGGGAAAGAAGGGGGAAAAGAAGAAUGCAAUGAAAAUAUGAAACUAAAGCUACCUAAAUGCAACACACAAUGACGAACACACAAAACAGAACAUCACACUCACAACACAAGACAAGACAACACACACUAACACAACAAAAGACCUAAAACCGAACCGUUCGUCCCCAGCAACGACGCCAAAAUUUUGAUGGGUGUCGCACCCCAUGCAAAAUUUAAUUUGCAUAUGAGAAUGCAGUAUAGACUAGGAAGUGACUGCUAGGUCGUCUCUCAAGGACCAAACCGUGGUUCAGGAAUUAGGUCUGGCACGUAGUGGGGGAGUUUGUGAAAGGAUUGUGAAUGCAGAUAAACCAACUUAAAAGACAAAUGCAAACAGAAAUGUAAACACAAAUGUAAAAACAAAAAUGAAUAUAAAAUGAAAACGGUUGGUCAUUAACUCAAUCACUAUGCUUCCAAUCACAAAUCAAUGACAAGUACACACUACUCUAAUCCAAAUCCGACUCGAAUCACCCAACUAAGCGAAGGCUAAUUCGGUCUUCAGAAUUACA
RNAcentral lists this long non-coding RNA (637 nucleotides) under Vigna radiata. RNAcentral's name for it is "long non-coding RNA (VRAD_LNC008704)". The record is from RNAcentral. Lineage: Eukaryota; Viridiplantae; Streptophyta; Magnoliopsida; Fabales; Fabaceae.